This is a regulatory RNA element of 150 nucleotides. It matches the Rfam family "FMN riboswitch aptamer (RFN element)". Rfam says of the family: The RFN element is a highly conserved domain that is found frequently in the 5'-untranslated regions of prokaryotic mRNAs that encode for flavin mononucleotide (FMN) biosynthesis and transport proteins. This element is a metabolite-dependent riboswitch that directly binds FMN in the absence of proteins. The record is from Rfam.
GCUUAUUCUCAGGGCGGGGCGAAAUUCCCCACCGGCGGUAAAUCAGCUUCGGCUGAAAGCCCGCGAGCGCUUUCGCUGUACAGUGAAAGGUCAGCAGAUCCGGUGUAAUUCCGGGGCCGACGGUUAAAGUCCGGAUGGGAGAGGGUAACG